This 89-nucleotide microRNA precursor is filed under the name Procavia capensis (Cape rock hyrax). RNAcentral describes it as "miRNA (ENSPCAG00000020475.1)". Lineage: Eukaryota; Metazoa; Chordata; Mammalia; Hyracoidea; Procaviidae. The record is from RNAcentral.
AUAUAUAUAUAUAUGUAUAUAUGCAUACACACAUAUAUGAUAUGGCUGGCGACUAUGUGUAUAUAUAUUAUAAUGUAUGUGUGUGUGUA